RNAcentral lists this ribosomal RNA (207 nucleotides) under uncultured Desulfuromonas sp. Its description in RNAcentral is "partial 16S ribosomal RNA". It matches the Rfam family "Bacterial small subunit ribosomal RNA", at positions 1177 to 1382 of the family's 1533-position model. Lineage: Bacteria; Pseudomonadati; Thermodesulfobacteriota; Desulfuromonadia; Desulfuromonadales; Desulfuromonadaceae. The record is from RNAcentral.
GGUCGACGUCAAGUCCUCAUGGCCCUUAUGUCCAGGGCUACACACGUGCUACAAUGGCCGGUACAAAGGGGCGCAAGGACCGCGAGGUGGAAGCAAAUCCCAAAAACCGGUCUCAGUUCGGAUUGGAGUCUGCAACUCGACUCCAUGAAGUUGGAAUCGCUAGUAAUCGCGUAUCAGCAUGACGCGGUGAAUACGUUCCCGGGCCUU